Long non-coding RNA from Myodes glareolus (Bank vole), 614 nucleotides. RefSeq lists it as uncharacterized. NCBI's taxonomy places the organism in Eukaryota, Metazoa, Chordata, Mammalia, Rodentia, Cricetidae. The record is from RefSeq and is a predicted model, not a curated record.
GGGGGGCACUCGGGAGGGAGGCAACGAUCGGGGCUGCAGACCCGUGAGGGUCCCGCAGGAGUGCGCCGGUGGCUCCCGCGCUAUUGCAGCCAGUGCCUGUUGCUGUGCGCAUGAGUCCCUGAACAGCCGGGCACCGUGGUGAUGAGUGACUGCCCCCUCAGACUCACUGCCGCCUGGAACUGAUGGAGCAGCUGUGGGAGGCCCUGCCCCUUGCAGCCACAGGGAAGGUGUCCCCAGCCUAGGAACACCUGCUGGUAAGCGAGCCUGUGACCACCAGAUUCCAGCGUUUUCUAACCAAACCAGGCUUCCUGAACCGCACUGGUUUGUGACUGCUGAGCUAUUUCCUCUGACUGGUAACCCUGAACCAUCCCCUCCCAGGCAGAAGAGGGAGGCUCCUCAGACUCGGGGACCUUGCUGGGCUGGGAAGGUCCCCAGGCUGGUAAGAGCGAGCAGCUGCUAGCUGUGUGUACAUCCAGCAGGACCUCUUCGCCUGGGGUUGGACGGAACAGCGGGCUUUUCAGUGGUGUGGCUGCCGGAGUCUCCUUGCUCUUGGGAGGGCCCCUCACCCUGGCUCUGCCUGUAACCCCAAUAAAACCUCUGCUCCACCACAUGGA